UCUCUCUCGAAUUCCAAAAGCAAUGGCGCCUAAGAGAAUCGGAGUCGGCGGUGGAGAUUCGAGCAUCUUGGCGAAGAUUGCAAACUCGAGCAUCGUGUCUCAAGGAAGAAACGCCGCGUGCGACGCCGUUUACGUGUCGAAGAAGCUUUUAAAGAGCACCGGGAAGGCGGCGUGGAUCGCCGGUACGACGCUUCUGAUCCUCGUCGUGCCUUUGGUCAUAGAGAUGGAUCGAGAGCAGCUACUAAACGAGAUGGAGUUUCAGCAGACCAGCCUUCUCGGAACUCCACCACCGGCUGGUGGGAUGCCGAUGUACUAAGAAGUAUCUUGAGAAACCCUAAUUCGUCGAUCGUAUCAUUAUUUCAAUUUUGAGAAUUUUCUACAAGAGGCGAAAGUAAAAUUGGUCCUCAAGAACCUUCUAGAGGCUUAUGACAAGAAGUGGGAUUUCAUAGAAGCUGAAGACUAUAAGGUCCUCAUUGAUGCAAUCUUCGAGGAGGAAGAUCCGCAGGCCACUGAAACGAAGAAGAAGCAAG
This is a non-coding RNA of Camelina sativa (false flax), 530 nucleotides long. The record is from RefSeq and is a predicted model, not a curated record. NCBI's taxonomy places the organism in Eukaryota, Viridiplantae, Streptophyta, Magnoliopsida, Brassicales, Brassicaceae.